RNAcentral lists this ribosomal RNA (424 nucleotides) under Fusobacteriota bacterium. RNAcentral's name for it is "Fusobacteria bacterium partial 16S ribosomal RNA". It matches the Rfam family "Bacterial small subunit ribosomal RNA", at positions 355 to 776 of the family's 1533-position model. Lineage: Bacteria; Fusobacteriati; Fusobacteriota. The record is from RNAcentral.
UGAGGAAUAUUGGUCAAUGGGCGAGAGCCUGAACCAGCCAAGUCGCGUGAAGGAAGACAGUCCUAAGGAUUGUAAACUUCUUUUAUACGGGAAUAACGGGCGAUACGAGUAUUGCAUUGAAUGUACCGUAAGAAUAAGCAUCGGCUAACUCCGUGCCAGCAGCCGCGGUAAUACGGAGGAUGCGAGCGUUAUCCGGAUUUAUUGGGUUUAAAGGGUGCGUAGGUUGUUCGGUAAGUCAGCGGUGAAACCUGAGCGCUCAACGUUCAGCCUGCCGUUGAAACUGCCGGGCUUGAGUUCUGUGGCGGCAGGCGGAAUUCGUGGUGUAGCGGUGAAAUGCAUAGAUAUCACGAGGAACUCCGAUUGCGAAGGCAGCUUGCCAUACUGCGACUGACACUGAAGCACGAAGGCGUGGGUAUCAAACAGG